AGGAUUCCCCUAGUAACUGCGAGUGAAGCGGGAAAAGCUCAAAUUUAAAAUCUGGCAGUCUUUGGCUGUCCGAGUUGUAAUUUAGAGAAGCACUGCCGGUGCUGGACUGUGUACAAGUCUCCUGGAAUGGAGCGUCAUAGAGGGUGAGAAUCCCGUAUAUGACACAGUUGCCAGGGCUUAGUGGCCUGCUCUCCAAGAGUCGAGUUGUUUGGGAAUGCAGCUCAAAAUGGGUGGUAAAUUCCAUCUAAAGCUAAAUACAGGCGAGAAACCGAUAGCGAACAAGUACCGUGAGGGAAAGAUGAAAAGAACUUUGGAAAGAGAGUUAAACAGUACGUGAAAUUGUUGAAAGGGAAACGCUUGAAGUCAGUCACAUUGCUGGAAAUCACACUUGCUUUCAUUGCUUGUGGCUCUUUCCUAGUAAUGGGUCAGCAUCAGUUUUGAUUGUUGGACAAGGGUUAGAGGAAUGUGGCAUCCUUGGAUGUGUUAUAGCCUCUGAUCAUAUGCAAUGAUGGAGACUGAGGAACUCAGCACUUUUGUGCUUAGGAUGCUGGCAUAAUGGCUUUAAUCGACCCGUCUUGAACCACCGGACCAAAAU
RNAcentral lists this ribosomal RNA (595 nucleotides) under Tricholomopsis sp. RNAcentral describes it as "partial large subunit ribosomal RNA". It matches the Rfam family "Eukaryotic large subunit ribosomal RNA", at positions 71 to 672 of the family's 3401-position model. Lineage: Eukaryota; Fungi; Basidiomycota; Agaricomycetes; Agaricales. The record is from RNAcentral.